CAACUUCUUUGAUCUUUCACCGGAUUCACGGCGCCAGUCUCUCUCCAGUCGACGGAUUCCGGCAGAACCUCGCCGGGCAUGACGGCGUAACGCGGGCUGGCGUUUUUCAACUUGGCAAAUCUUCGCUUGGGAUCGCUCCUGGUGCCCAGGUAGAUAGCUCGGUACUCUUCGUUGGUGAGGUCAGCGAAUCUGUUCAACCCUACCUUGUAGGUGCGAUUUUGAGCGUUGUGUUCAUCUAUGAACUUGAGGUUAUCUUUGAAUAUCUCAAACCUCUUCUCUUUUUCUCCCAGUCCGUUGUAGGCUUUUCCGUGCUUGGCCAUCCACCACUGAUACAUGCCCAUCACCUCCUCCUCGCUUCUCCAGCUGCUGGACAGGUCCGCUGCGGAUGAGGCGACAAAGAAGAGGAAGAGAAGGGUUGAUAUGGAUAGCGCCAUGGCUGGUAAACGAGAAGAUGUGGAGGAGAUCAUGUUUGGGUGUCAAAAUGGGCUGUGGA
RNAcentral lists this long non-coding RNA (493 nucleotides) under Vitis vinifera (wine grape). Its description in RNAcentral is "long non-coding RNA (VVIN_LNC002263)". The record is from RNAcentral. Lineage: Eukaryota; Viridiplantae; Streptophyta; Magnoliopsida; Vitales; Vitaceae.